CCCGGGCCUUGUACACACCGCCCGUCACACCAUGGGAGUUGGUUUUACCCGAAGCCGGUGGGCUAACCGCAAGGAGGCAGCCGACCACGGUCAGGUCAGCGACUGGGGUG
This 110-nucleotide ribosomal RNA is filed under the name uncultured bacterium. RNAcentral describes it as "partial 16S ribosomal RNA". It matches the Rfam family "Bacterial small subunit ribosomal RNA", at positions 1373 to 1482 of the family's 1533-position model. The record is from RNAcentral.